This 200-nucleotide long non-coding RNA is filed under the name Malus domestica (apple). RNAcentral's name for it is "long non-coding RNA (MDOM_LNC017055)". Lineage: Eukaryota; Viridiplantae; Streptophyta; Magnoliopsida; Rosales; Rosaceae. The record is from RNAcentral.
CUCCAAUGGAAUGCCUUUGACAUGAUCAAAGAUCAAGGACCUAACCAUUAGACAUCUACGAUGCCUCAGGUCAAAGGACUACUUUGCAUAUUGCAACUAUCGAGUUCUUACAUGACAUGUAUGUUCGAACUUUCUUUUGAUCGUUGUUCAGUGUACUCGAUUACUCUUUCGAGCACCUAUGUGUUUGUCUUAGUGUCCAA